GUGCCAGCAGCCGCGGUAAGACGAGGGAUCCUAGCGUUGUUCGGAAUCAUUGGGCGUAAAGCGGGUGUAGGUGGCUUGGUAAGUCAGGUGUGAAAGCCCAGGGCUUAACCCUGGAAGUGCAUUUGAAACUGCCGAGCUUGAGUGUGGGAGAGGAUAGUGGAAUUCCUGGUGUAGUGGUGAAAUACGUAGAUAUCAGGAGGAACAUCGGUGGCGAAGGCGGCUAUCUGGCCCAACACUGACACUCAGACCCGAAAGCGUGGGGAUCAAACAGGAUUAGAAACCCUUGUAGUCC
Molecule: ribosomal RNA, 292 nt
Filed under: uncultured bacterium
Lineage: Bacteria
Description: partial 16S ribosomal RNA
Rfam family: Bacterial small subunit ribosomal RNA
Source: RNAcentral